CUGUUAGUGUCUUUAUUUUCUCAGUUAUCAGACAUGCCCUUGGAAACACUCCUCAGGAUACAUAUGAGUGCUACGACAGAUCACAUCCUGCUGCCUCUAAUUUAAAGCAUUCUGUGAAACCGUUGCCUGAAAUGUCUAAUUUCAUACACUGACUAGAGACAGGCACUGCACGUAGCAGAUGUAUUCCUGGGGAGUGUUGCUGGUAAAUCAAAUUUUUAUAAUUCAAA
RNAcentral lists this long non-coding RNA (227 nucleotides) under Lynx pardinus (Iberian lynx). The record is from RNAcentral. Lineage: Eukaryota; Metazoa; Chordata; Mammalia; Carnivora; Felidae.